Molecule: ribosomal RNA, 403 nt
Filed under: uncultured bacterium
Lineage: Bacteria
Description: partial 16S ribosomal RNA
Rfam family: Bacterial small subunit ribosomal RNA
Source: RNAcentral
AUUGAACGCUGGCGGCAGGCCUAACACAUGCAAGUCGAGCGAGCGGCGGACGGUUGAGUAAUGUAUGGGGACUGCCCGAUAGAGGGGGAUAAAUACUGGAAACGGUAGCUAAUACCGCAUACUAUCGGAUAACCCAUAUGGGAUUAGAUAGUAGGUGAGGUAAUGGCUCACCUAGGCGACGAUCCAUAGCUGGGCUGAGAGGAUGAUCAGCCACACUGGGACUGAGACACGGCCCAGACUCCUACGGAGGCAGCAGUGGUGAAUAGUGCACAAUGGGCGAAAGCCUGAUGCAGCAAGGCCGCGUGUAUGAAGAAGGCCCUAGGGUUGUAAAGUACUUUUAUUAGGGAGGCGUUACCGACAGAAGAAGCACCGGCUAACUCCGUGCCAGCCGCCGCGGUAAUAC